RNAcentral lists this ribosomal RNA (497 nucleotides) under uncultured bacterium. Its description in RNAcentral is "partial 16S ribosomal RNA". It matches the Rfam family "Bacterial small subunit ribosomal RNA", at positions 28 to 507 of the family's 1533-position model. The record is from RNAcentral.
GAUGAACGCUGGCGGCGUGCCUAAUACAUGCAAGUCGAGCGAACGGACGAGGAGCUUGCUUCUCUGAUGUUAGCGGCGGACGGGUGAGUAACACGUGGAUAACCUACCUAUAAGACUGGGAUAACUUCGGGAAACCGGAGCUAAUACCGGAUAAUAUUUUGAACCGCAUGGUUCAAUAGUGAAAGACGGUCUUGCUGUCACUUAUAGCUGGAUCCGCGCUGCAUUAGCUAGUUGGUAAGGUAACGGCUUACCAAGGCAACGAUGCAUAGCCGACCUGAGAGGGUGAUCGGCCACACUGGAACUGAGACGCGGUCCAGACUCCUACGGGAGGCAGCAGUAGGGAAUCUUCCGCAAUGGGCGAAAGCCUGACGGAGCAACGCCGCGUGAGUGAUGAAGGUCUUCGGAUCGUAAAACUCUGUUAUUAGGGAAGAACAUAUGUGUAAGUAACUGUGCACAUCUUGACGGUACCUAAUCAGAAAGCCACGGCUAACUACGUG